AAUACCUACCAGGACAAACAUGACCCUCUUAGAAUGGGAUGAAUGAGAGCGAAUGAAAAGAAGCCAUCCAGAUUCAAGAGCUGAAAUUCUGCUGUUUCUCCAGAGGGUGUAGCACUGCUCACCUAGACAGCAUCUCUCUGGGGAAGGCAAGUCAAGAACUCUUAGAAACAAGCCACUUCCACAGUCUGGUGGCUCCUCGGUUUGGUAGCCUGCGCAGUGCCUCAGGGAAUCUAAGAUCAAGCCCUGUGCUCCCCAGGCCACAUGGGGCUCCCUAGGGUCAGCAUGAGCAGAGGCUUCAAGACUGAGCUUGAUAAGUUUAUGGAAGGGAUGGUAUGCUAAAACUGUCUACAGUGGCACAUAGCUAAUCUGCGACUGCUAGCAGCAAAUAUCUCUAAUGGCCAGUGAUGGGACACUAGCUGGGGAGGGUGUGACAGGAUCCCCCGGGGUGCAGCCUGGGACUGCUGUGCCCCCUUAACUCUCUCCAGCCUGGGCUGUCUCUCACAAUGCCUUGCUAGUGACCAGCAGCAAACCCCUCCAGGUGCUGUGAUCACUCAGCACAACAGCAUGUGGAGCCCCACAUCCAGCUAGAUUGCAUGAAUGCUCCCAGCGCCACUCAUGAAUCACCCAGAGAAAGGUACCAGAGCCAAAUCCCCCAGCUCCCAGCACUGUACCCCAGGAAUAUACCAUCUUGCACUGCUCAAGAUGGGCGGUGCAAAUUUAAAUAUUUGGUUCACCAGUUCAACAAUGGAAAGUGGACAUACACCAGCCUUUGUCAAACCUGAGCAGAUUUACCACACUCUUCAUACAAACUCAGUGGUUAAGAUAAACAAAUAAAUUUAUUGACUAUAAAAGGUAGAUUAAGUAAUAGGCAAAAAGUCAGUUACCAAAAGAAAUAAAAUAUAAGCCCACAGUCUAAACACUCAACCCUAUUAGAUGGGGCAGCAACUAGAUUAAGCAGUUUUUCUCACCCCACUGUAUUUUGCAGCCCUUAAUAUACAGGUUUGUUCCUUAAACCUGGGCCAAUCUCCUGUGUUGGAGUCUUGUCUUUUUGGACUGAAUUGCACAGUAAAUUGAUUUAAUUUCCAGUUUUCCUGCAUCAAAAUUAAUAUGCAACAGAUCUUUAUCUUCUAAUACUAAAUCCAUUUCCCUGAAGAGUUAUGUAUUGCUCCAUAAUAGAUACAUUGUGUUCUUGAUCUUUCCUCAACUUGGCUGCUACAUUUUAAGACUAACUAAUAUUCCUCCCGCCCGCCCUGUUACAAUAAAGCUGUCAUUUCUAGCACCUAAUGCAUCAGGAGGGUGGACUGAUAGCCCAGUCAGGUUAAUCUCUCUCCCCAGCAAUGAUUGGGAUGUUAAUCAUGCAUCUGCUUCCUGUCAGAGGAACGACAGUAAGUGUUUAUUGACCGUGCUUGCAGGUUCAUCAAUAUGUAUGGUGUUCCUCUUUAUCACUUCUUUCAGCAGAUGCUUUGAAGUUAAUAUUCACUUUGUUACAUACCAUA
This is a long non-coding RNA of Chelonia mydas (Green sea turtle), 1496 nucleotides long. RefSeq lists it as uncharacterized. The transcript is spliced from 2 exons. NCBI's taxonomy places the organism in Eukaryota, Metazoa, Chordata, Testudines, Cheloniidae. The record is from RefSeq and is a predicted model, not a curated record.